Gymnodraco acuticeps is the source of this 962-nucleotide long non-coding RNA. RefSeq lists it as uncharacterized. Lineage: Eukaryota; Metazoa; Chordata; Actinopteri; Perciformes; Bathydraconidae. The record is from RefSeq and is a predicted model, not a curated record. The transcript has 3 exons.
AGAGAACGAACAAGAGGAAAGAAAGUUCAUUUAAGUGGAGAAAGAUAUAAGAAGGCCGCCAUGUUGUGUCCUUUCUGUGGCCAACAUCUAGGGACAGUUCAAGUGUUCUGUGGCUCCUGUGGCAAACAUGUACAGUUUUUGGCAGAAGUUGAACACAACAGCAUUCCAUUAGGAGGGUCAGGAACUCACGCUUGGGACCACCAGUGUCCACUCCAUCCUCAGUUUGUCCCUCAUCGUCAGUAAACUUAACCUGCAUCUGAUGAGAGGGGUCGAAUGAGGCACCUUUGAAGCUGCGGAUUGCUCCAUCCCAUACAUUGGAUCGGUUAAUAUUAAACCUGCUGCAAGAGGUAUUUUUUAUUUUUGCAGAGAGUUCUGCAACAACGUCUGGCGCAGUGAGGUAUUCUGUGCUGGGAAAGACAAAGUGAUGUAUUGUAAUAUUAAAUGAUGAAGCUAGUAAUAAGAUUUACAGUAUAGAAUAAAAAAAUGAAGUGAUAAAAGUAACAUUUAAUACAUUUCCUCUGCAGUUUGCUCCGUUUCCUCUUCUGGCUCAGACUAGCUGUCAAUAAUGAUAAGUGCAUACAGUUGUGUAGUUGCUGCAGUGAGAAGACAGUUGAAUAAUUACUUUCAAAUACAUAAUAUAUGCAUGACAGUCAUAUUUACAAAAGGAUGUCGAUCUUCUUCCUGGUUUUUUUAAUACAUUGGGUUCUAAACUGACAACAGCACUUUGUCAUACUCCUGCACAAUCCUUGUAAACAUUUGAAAUGAAUGCAAGAAACAAUAUCUGAUCUUUGAAAAAUAUCUGUGGGUGUUUUUUGUAUCGUCUUCACUAAGAUGUCAGAUGUUGUGGGUGUCCUUUGGAAAUGUAUGAAAGUAUAAUUGUUCUGCUUCCUGGCAAUGUUACCCACUGUGAUUGGAGGCUAUACAAACAAAGACAUGUACAAAUAAAGAUACACACCAAACAA